UAACCUGCCCAAGAGAUCGGGAUAACACCUGGAAACAGAUGCUAAUACCGGAUAACAACAGAUGAUGCCUAUCAACUGUUUAAAAGAUGGUUCUGCUAUCACUCUUGGAUGGGCCUGCGGUGCAUUAGCUAGUUGGUAGGGUAACGGCCUACCAAGGCGAUGAUGCAUAGCCGAGUUGAGAGACUGAUCGGCCACAUUGGGACUGAGACACGGCCCAAACUCCUACGGGAGGCAGCAGGA
This 240-nucleotide ribosomal RNA is filed under the name uncultured Lactobacillus sp. Its description in RNAcentral is "partial 16S ribosomal RNA". It matches the Rfam family "Bacterial small subunit ribosomal RNA", at positions 122 to 354 of the family's 1533-position model. The record is from RNAcentral. Lineage: Bacteria; Bacillati; Bacillota; Bacilli; Lactobacillales; Lactobacillaceae.